RNAcentral lists this long non-coding RNA (718 nucleotides) under Vigna radiata. RNAcentral describes it as "long non-coding RNA (VRAD_LNC016395)". The record is from RNAcentral. Lineage: Eukaryota; Viridiplantae; Streptophyta; Magnoliopsida; Fabales; Fabaceae.
GGGGUUUUCCUUAAUACUCUAAUGACUAUUCAAUCUCACUUAGAGAAGAUUGGUUCAUGUGGUGAGAGUAGUAGGAGGUCCUAGUCUUGGUUGUCUCCAUUUUAUAUAGGCCAAGGUGAGUGAUAACGGACUAACCUUGUGGUGGUAGGGUGGAACCCAUAGCAAUUGGCUUUGCAAAGUAGUAGAGGCCACCACAAGUGCAUAACCCGCCAUAGCUCGAUAUUCAUUCCGGGUCCGGACGAGUCUAAGUCUAACACUACCUAAUAAAACUAUAACUCAUAAUUUAUUAAAGUCGUCCUUCUAUGAUUGCAAUUGCUUGUAUGACUCUUUUACUUUGUUCAAUUUAAAUUGAUUUGUAUUCUUUUGAAUUCUAGCUUACCCUUGCUUUGUUUGNUGUCUGUCUUGUUUGUGCUUGUUUUCUUUUGCAAUGAUCAUCCUAAUUGGAUGUGAGCAGAAGUUUCAGAGGCCCCACUGGAGCAGCUACUAGACGUUCCAGAUGUUCCUGAUACUGNUGAUGAUGCAGAGUAGUAUAGUUUAGUUAGAUCUAUUGUAUAUAACUUGGUCUUCUUUCCUUUUCUUCUUUUUGAAAGACUCUAUGCUGUUAUGUAGAGCUUAUAUCAUAUUUUGGAUGACUGUAUUAUAUACACUUCAUCUGCUACUACUCUUAACUGCUUUCUAUUAUUAUAAUAUGUUGCAUUCCACUUGAUAUGAAUUAUAC